This 128-nucleotide microRNA precursor is filed under the name Oryza sativa (Asian cultivated rice). Its description in RNAcentral is "miR5511 stem-loop (osa-MIR5511)". The record is from miRBase by way of RNAcentral. Lineage: Eukaryota; Viridiplantae; Streptophyta; Magnoliopsida; Poales; Poaceae.
UUGGUGGAAGAAGGCCAAGUGUUUGGGAUGUUGGAAAUAACUUCCUAGCUGGCUGGCCUAAGAAAUUUUCAUAGACAAAGAGCCGUUUCAAACCAUGCAUAUCCCAGCUGUUUCGGCCUUGCUGCAUU